RNAcentral lists this transfer RNA (69 nucleotides) under Cynoglossus joyneri (red tonguesole). RNAcentral's name for it is "tRNA-Asp". The record is from RNAcentral. Lineage: Eukaryota; Metazoa; Chordata; Actinopteri; Pleuronectiformes; Cynoglossidae.
AAGACUCUAGUAAAACUAUUACUCUGCCUUGUCAAGGCAACAUUGCAAGUGAAACCCUUGCGUGUCUUU